Molecule: ribosomal RNA, 483 nt
Filed under: uncultured bacterium
Lineage: Bacteria
Description: partial 16S ribosomal RNA
Rfam family: Bacterial small subunit ribosomal RNA
Source: RNAcentral
AAUGAACGUUGGCGGCGUGGAUUAGGCAUGCGAGUCGAGCGAGAACCGUAGCAAUACGGGGACAGCGGCGAAAGUGACAGUAACGGGUAGAUUAUCUGCCCUCAGGUUUGGGAUAGCUGCGGGAAACUGCAAGUAAUACCAAAUAAUAUAUCCGGAUCAAAGGUGUGAUUCCGCCUGAGGAUGAGUCUGCCUCCUAUUAGCUUGUUGGUGGGGUAACGGCCUACCAAGGCCUUGAUGGGUAGAGGGUGUGAGAGCACGACCCGCGUCAUUGGGACUGAAACACUGCCCAGACACCUACGGGUGGCUGCAGUCGAGAAUCUUCGGCAAUGGACGCAAGUCUGACCGAGCGACGCCGCGUGUGGGAUGAAGGCCUUCGGGUUGUAAACCACUGUCAGAGGGGAUGAAAUGCAGGUGGGUACUCCCAUUUGUUUGACAUAGCCUCAGAGGAAGUACGGGCUAAGUUCGUGCCAGCCGCCGCAGUAA